This 434-nucleotide ribosomal RNA is filed under the name Ischyrocerus anguipes. RNAcentral describes it as "partial 16S ribosomal RNA". It matches the Rfam family "Bacterial large subunit ribosomal RNA", at positions 1953 to 2619 of the family's 2925-position model. Lineage: Eukaryota; Metazoa; Arthropoda; Malacostraca; Amphipoda; Ischyroceridae. The record is from RNAcentral.
AAGGUAGCAUAAUAAUUUGUUUUUUAAAUGGGAACUGGAAUGAAUGGUUUAACGCUGAUUACUUUUCUUUUUUAUUAAGUGUAGAAAUUAGAGUAAAAGUAAAAAUACUUUUAUUUUUUAAAUAGACGAUAAGACCCUAAAAGCUUUAUUAGCGCGGCGGGUUUUUAUAUACUACUUAGCUUAUACAAUUUCACUGGGGCAGUAUUUUUAAUAAGAUAAAAAAAUAAUUAAACUCGUAAAAGGUUGAUUGAACCUUAAUAUUAGGGUGUUUGUUUAAGUUACUUUAGGGAUAACAGCAUAAUAUCCCCAGAGAGACCAUAUUUAUGGGGGUGAUUGUGACCUCGAUGUUGAAUUAAUAAAUCUAUACGGAGCAGUGUUCGUAAAAGAAGGUUUGUUCAACCUUUAAAUUAUUACAUGAUCUGAGUUCAAACCGG